This 1494-nucleotide ribosomal RNA is filed under the name Triticum aestivum (bread wheat). RNAcentral describes it as "partial small subunit ribosomal RNA". The record is from RNAcentral. Lineage: Eukaryota; Viridiplantae; Streptophyta; Magnoliopsida; Poales; Poaceae.
AUGAACGCUUUCGUGCGUAAUAACUGUGGAAGCAGGAUACUUACAACUACUCGUAUACUCGAAGUUGCCACAACGACCGGUGAAGUAUACGAGUUAAAACCACUUUCUCAUGAUUUAUCCAAUGAUUUAUUUCAUAGAAGAGUAUCUAUUGGCAAAAUAAAACGGCCUAAUCAUCUGCCAGUAGAGGUAUACAAUAAAAUUUUACGUAAAUGUGGAGGUGUACCAUUGGCUAUAAUCACAAUAGCUAGUUUGCUUGUCAGUAAACCUGUGGAGCUUUGGUCUAAGGUAUACACUUCAAUUGGUUUUGGGCAUGAAGAAAACAAAGACGUGGAGAACACGAGAAAAAUACUUUUAUUUAGCUAUUAUGAUCUACCUUGUCACCUAAAGACAUGCUUAUUGUAUCUGAGCAUAUAUCCUGAAGAUCAUCUGAUUGAAAAAGAUAGUUUGAUAUGGAAGUGGGUCGCCGAAGGUUUUAUCCGCGAGGAACCAGGGGUAGGACUAUUCGAGAUUGGUGAGAGGUACUUCAACAUGUUGGUAAAUAAAAGCAUGAUAAUGCCGGUAGAGGAGCCCCUGUAUUAUGGCAUGGAAAUGCAUGUUGGCACCAUAACUGGAUGCCGCGUGCAUGACAUGAUGUUGGAUAUGAUAUGCCUAUUGUCAAAGGAAGAAAACUUUGUUACUAUAUUGGAUAGCAACGAACAAUAUAAAACUUCACAUUACAAUGCUCAUAGGCUAGCUGUUCAUCGUAGUGUCCAACCUCUGGCUAGCACAUCAACAUUACAAGCAAGGUCACUUAAUGCCAUGUGCUAUGCUGAGAUGUUGCCAUCACUUUCAUGCUUUGAAGUUUUGCGUGUCCUAGCUUUGGAAGGCCCCUCUAGUUUGCACAAUCCUAAUCAUCUUGAGCAUGUUGGAAAGUUACUUCACUUGAGGCACCUCAAACUAGGCUGCAUUGGUAUCAGUGAGCUCCCAAAGGAAAUAGGGCAUCUGAAGUUCUUGAUGGUAUUGGACUUGGGUCUAAAUAGCAUAAGCGAACUUCCAGAGAGUAUUGGUCAACUAAGUCAACUGAAGUGCUUGAACAUCUGCAAAACAGGCAUUGCAGUGCCAUGCUGGAUCGGGAAUUUGACAUCUCUGGAAGAGCUAUGCCUUAGAGAAGUUGGUGAGGACUCCAACUUUGUGACAGAGCUGGGCAAGUUGACAGAGUUGAGGAAGCUCCGCAUUUCUAGAAGUGUAUAUUUAUAUGGUGAUGGUAGCAGAAUGAGUAGUUGGGCCGAGUCUGUAGCCAAACUCAGCAAGAUCCAAGUCAUAGACAUUGAUUCAGUUGAUGGGUGGAGAGAUUCCAGUCAUGAAGAGAGCCCCCCGCGGCUCAAAAAAUAUGAAGAGAACCCCUGGAACAGUAUGCCCUCUCUCCACAACUCCGUGUUCUACGCAUGUCCUACGGAGAACCUGGGCUGGUGGCAAGGAUCAAUCCCCAGCUUCUUCCGAACCUCUCCCAUUUAA